UUGUAAAGAACUCUCCCUAUAUAUAGCCAAUUACACUCACAAGCUCUUCAUUCACUUCUUACCAAAUUCCAUCCAUCUUCAAAUACACAAAAGCGGAAAUUCAAAUUUCUAUCAAUGGAGAAGAGAAUUAAGAUCAACGGCGGAGAUUUGUCGAAUAAAUACACGAGGAGGCUUAUUCCAAGGAGGGGUCAAGUGAAGGCUGGGAUUAUGUUGUGUUUGGCUCAUUCACUAGCUGUCAUUUUCUCUGUUAGAAGAAACCCUCCUUCCACCUCUCACUUUUGAGCAUCUUUUCGUGAGCAUGGUUGGAUUCAGUACGACUCCAAAUAGACCUUAAUUUAGACAAAACAAGCUAGUCGAGUCAACAUCUAAUUUUUGCCAAUUUUGGUUGUAUGCUUUGACGCCUUUGAUAAUUUCCCAGUGAGAAUCGUUUUAAGGUUUGAAAUGAGAUAUUACUCUUCGUUUUUGGACCAAAUUCAAUUUUCUAUUUUUCAAAUUGAUAAUAAUGUGCUCGGAUAUUCAAAUUUUGAUGCACACUUAGAAGUGUCAAAAUGCAUCGAUUUGAACAACUUGAGCUAGACAAGCAUGACUCGAUAAAUGUGUUCUCUAGGGUCAGCCAUACCACGUAAUGGUAAACUUUGGGUUAUGUGAAUGUAUUUUGAGUAAUUGAUUAAUGUCGAAUUAAAUAAAAACAAAUCAAAAAUUAAUGAGAAAAAAAGUAGCUAAUCAAAUUGCCAAGUGCCCAAUUUUGGUUGUAUGCUUUGACACCUUUGAUAAUUUCCCAGUGAGAAUCGUUUUAAGGUUUGAAAUGAGAUAUUUCUCUUCGUUUUUGGACCAAAUUCAAUUUUCUAUUUUUCAAAUUGAUAAUAAUGUGCUCGGAUAUUCAAAUUUUGAUGCACACUUAGAAGUGUCAAAAUGCAUCGAUUUGAACAACUUGAGCUAGACAAGCAUGACUCGAUAAAUGUGUUCUCUAGGGUCAGCCAUACCACG
This 987-nucleotide long non-coding RNA is filed under the name Olea europaea (common olive). RNAcentral describes it as "long non-coding RNA (OEUR_LNC007483)". Lineage: Eukaryota; Viridiplantae; Streptophyta; Magnoliopsida; Lamiales; Oleaceae. The record is from RNAcentral.